Molecule: long non-coding RNA, 520 nt
Organism: Oncorhynchus nerka (sockeye salmon)
Lineage: Eukaryota; Metazoa; Chordata; Actinopteri; Salmoniformes; Salmonidae
Exons: 3
Source: RefSeq, a predicted model, not a curated record
UGCCGAAUAGGCAUCAACUCACCACGUAGCUUAUUCUUAAUGUUUGUCCAUAGGCUACCAGAGUGAGGACAGACAUUUUUCGGAAAAAACGUGGUGAGUGAGAAACUGAAUGAAAUAGCCCACUCCAUACCCGGUAUCUUAUUCUGCCGCUAUACAAUUUUGUAUCCGUUGUUUGCUGGCAACCUUGUUAUUUACGAACUUUUUGGAACAAAUUCCUGUUGGAACGUUCCACAAAUUACACCCAGCUGACUGCGAGGGAACGUGCUUCGGUCGACAAUGUUCGGCUACUGUUUACAUAAUGUGCAACAAUGCCUCUGGAGAUUGAAAAUACAAGCGACAGAACCUACCGUCGCAGCAAAAAGUCGGAUGGAAGUGUAGGGCAUUCCAGAAGGUACCGUGCGAUGAUGCAGAUGAGACAGAAGGCGAAGUAGAAGACUGAGGUGAAAAUCAUCACUCCCCAAUCAAUCAUCAAUCAGAAGACACACCUCCUCCUAUUUCCUACCCUAUCACAGUUCCUUCC